This 247-nucleotide ribosomal RNA is filed under the name uncultured bacterium. Its description in RNAcentral is "partial 16S ribosomal RNA". It matches the Rfam family "Bacterial small subunit ribosomal RNA", at positions 523 to 769 of the family's 1533-position model. The record is from RNAcentral.
AUACGAAGGGGGCUAGCGUUGCUCGGAAUGACUGGGCGUAAAGGGAGUGUAGGCGGUUUGUACAGUCAGAUGUGAAAUCCCCGGGCUUAACCUGGGAGCUGCAUUUGAGACGUGCAGACUAGAGUGUGAGAGAGGGUUGCGGAAUUCCCAGUGUAGAGGUGAAAUUCGUAGAUAUUGGGAAGAACACCGGUGGCGAAGGCGGCAACCUGGCUCAUUACUGACGCUGAGGCGCGAAAGCGUGGGGAGC